Molecule: ribosomal RNA, 333 nt
Filed under: uncultured eukaryote
Lineage: Eukaryota
Description: partial 18S ribosomal RNA
Rfam family: Eukaryotic small subunit ribosomal RNA
Source: RNAcentral
CCCUUAGAUGUCCUGGGCUGCACGCGCGCUACACUGAUGUGUCCAGUAAGCACCUAACCUCUUCCGAAAGGAACGGGUAACCUUUGCAAAGCACAUCGUGAUGGGGAUAGAUUAUUGCAAUUAUUAGUCUUGAACGAGGAAUUCCUAGUAAGCACAAGUCAUCAGCUUGUGUUGAUUACGUCCCUGCCCUUUGUACACACCGCCCGUCGCUACUACCGAUUGAACGGUUUAGUGAGGGCCUCGGAUUGGUCUCGGCCCGCUCUUCACCGGGCGGCGCCGUUGGUCGAGAAGACGCUCGAACUUGAUCGUUUAGAGGAAGUAAAAGUCGUAACA